GCCCCUGUAGCGCAAUGGUAGCGCGUGAGACUUUCUAAUCUCAAGGUUGCGGGUCCCCCGCCAGGGGUU
This 69-nucleotide transfer RNA is filed under the name Aspergillus parasiticus. It matches the Rfam family "tRNA". Rfam says of the family: Transfer RNA (tRNA) molecules are approximately 80 nucleotides in length. Their secondary structure includes four short double-helical elements and three loops (D, anti-codon, and T loops). RNAcentral also lists the same sequence under 2 other names. The record is from Rfam by way of RNAcentral. Lineage: Eukaryota; Fungi; Ascomycota; Eurotiomycetes; Eurotiales; Aspergillaceae.